UCACGCUUGACAAAGCAAGGUGUUCCAUUUAGCACCCGAAAUUAUCAUCAAUUACCGUCUUUUCAAAUGCGUCAAUGUGUCAAUCAAUGUCGUAAGUCCGGAUGGCAUGGAGUCGCAGUUUACUUCCCAACUUAUCACCGAAGCGCCAUCAAAGUGUGACCUUUGCAAAUCGAGCUGCCCCCUUUUUCGGGACCGACAGCGAGCUGGUCCCGUGGUACGAUUUGUUUACCAACAAAGUUACGACGCAGGUGCCGAAAAUAAACCACUCCGGCGACUAUUUAUCAUUCGUUCAUUCGACCCUUGAACAAUGCGAUCGAUCUAAAAUUUAUGCUAACUUGGGAAAAGCCAUUUUCGAUCGGACUGAUGCGCACAAACGCAGGAAAUCAAUCGAAUCAAUUAAUAUCAAUUUGUGAGGAUGCCAAUUGACGAUUUGGCGUAGAUUGUUCUCGAACGAUUUGCGUUGUUCGGGUCUCACGAUUUCUGGCGAAUACAAGCUAUACCGAAGCAGAAACUUCCGAUUUUCAAGUGCAAUAUAUCACUAUUAACAGUCGUCACUACUUGACACUUGAUUGGCCUGUUGAGCCCGUUUGAAAUCUUGCCAAUUCAUGCGAUCCAUUGGGCGAAUGGCGUUCAUUGGUACAAUUAACAGUCAAGCUACGGCGUACCAAGCAAUUGAGUCAAAUUAAAAGAAAUGUCCGUUUCCGCCAAAUCGCAGCUGAAACGCCGUUCUGAGUAAGCAUUGUUGUAAAUUUUUAGCAGCAGCAACUCGUUCAAGGACACCAACAAAACCGCUGAAUGGGAUCCGUCAAUUAUAGUCCGAUCGAAUCUGUUCCAGUAGGACGAUCGUUGAUCUUCUUAUAUCGGUUUGGCAGCACUUCAAAUAUUUGACUUGAUUAAAAUAGGUUUGACGGCCGUGACAGUUAGCUUUGUAGGUUGUACUUUGUCAUUACAGGAUUGUACUAGAUUGAGCAAAUUACGUCUGAUGAAAUAUCUCCCAGAUUGGUUAUGUCAUGAACAGAAAUAGUCAUCAAUUCAAGUCAAUACCAUUUAGUCACGAAUAUGUGUCACCAAUUUAGCAGUGGUGAAAGACAGUCGAGAUAUUUUUGCCGUUACUAUUAGGCCAUUAAUGGUUAGUCACUGAUUACAUUUAACUAUCGUUUUAUGGCUUUGAAUCUUCAUGAAUAAUUACAGAGCCUUCGGUAAUGCGAAUUUUGAUGACCUAUAAAAAUCUAUCGAAUUAUUCGGUAUAAGCUUGAUGUUAUAAAUUAGCGGA
Molecule: long non-coding RNA, 1273 nt
Organism: Malaya genurostris
Lineage: Eukaryota; Metazoa; Arthropoda; Insecta; Diptera; Culicidae
Exons: 3
Source: RefSeq, a predicted model, not a curated record